GACGAACGCUGGCGGCGUGCUUAACACAUGCAAGUCGAACGGAAAGGCCCUGCUUUUGUGGGGUGCUCGAGUGGCGAACGGGUGAGUAACACGUGAGUAACCUGCCCUUGACUUUGGGAUAACUUCAGGAAACUGGGGCUAAUACCGGAUAGGAGCUCCUGCUUCAUGGUGGUGGUUGGAAAGUUUCGGCGGUUGGGGAUGGACUCGCGGCUUAUCAGCUUGUUGGUGGGGUAGUGGCUUACCAAGGCUUUGACGGGUAGCCGGCCUGAGAGGGUGACCGGCAACAUUGGGACUGAGAUACGGCCCAGACUCCUACGGGAGGCAGCAGUGGGGAAUAUUGCACAAUGGGCGGAAGCCUGAUGCAGCAACGCCGCGUGCGGGAUGACGGCCUUCGGGUUGUAAACCGCUUUCGCCUGUGACGAAGCGUGAGUGACGGUAAUGGGUAAAGAAGCACCGGCUAACUACGUG
Molecule: ribosomal RNA, 468 nt
Filed under: uncultured bacterium
Lineage: Bacteria
Description: partial 16S ribosomal RNA
Rfam family: Bacterial small subunit ribosomal RNA
Source: RNAcentral